AAUAAAUUUGAACAAUCAACACCACCAACACUGACACCUAAAAAUCAAUUAAUUCUUCCUCUAAAAAAAAAAAAAAUCAAUUAAUUCACAGUUUCAAAGCUUCAAAAGUUAUGUCAAAUUACAAUCAAAUCAAUAUAUACUUUUCCCCACAAUACAUUUCCAAUCAUUUUUACAAUAAUAACACCAAAUUAUAACAUUGUUACAAUAGUAACACGUACCAAAUUGUAUUAUACACUACUUAUACCUAUAUCUCCAUACGUUUUUGCAUCCGGCCUCUUGGUACUGGUCGCUUCAUCCUCUUAGACCUUGUCCAUUGCGCGAAAACCUGUGCGAAUCUGAGCCACCGCCGUAGGGUGGCGGCGGGCCUCCGCGACCCCCUCGGGGGUGCGGGGCACGGGGGCGGGAUCCGCUGCUGAACCGGCCGGUAGAACGGCACCGCAAACCGGGCUGGGCUCGGCGCGGAGUAGCUCCUCCUCAGAAUGGUCUUGUUCAGCUGGAUCUCGAUCCUGAGCCGCUCGAACUCGUCGAGAAGUGUCGAGUGGCGCGCCCCGUAGCACAC
This 559-nucleotide long non-coding RNA is filed under the name Ananas comosus (pineapple). RNAcentral describes it as "long non-coding RNA (ACOM_LNC032238)". The record is from RNAcentral. Lineage: Eukaryota; Viridiplantae; Streptophyta; Magnoliopsida; Poales; Bromeliaceae.